UAUACAAUAAGCGGAGGAAAAGAAACCAACGGGGAUUGCCCUAGUAACGGCGAGUGAAGCGGCAACAGCUCAAAUUUGAAAUCUGGCGCAAGCCCGAGUUGUAAUUUGUAGAGGAUGCUUCUGGGUAGCGACCGAUCUAAGUUCCUUGGAACAGGACGUCAUAGAGGGUGAGAAUCCCGUAUGUGACCGGCCCGCACCCUUUACGUAGCUCCUUCGACGAGUCGAGUUGUUUGGGAAUGCAGCUCUAAAUGGGAGGUAAAUUUCUUCUAAAGCUAAAUACCGGCCAGAGACCGAUAGCGCACAAGUAGAGUGAUCGAAAGAUGAAAAGUACUUUGGAAAGAGAGUUAAAAAGCACGUGAAAUUGUUGAAAGGGAAGCGCCUGCAACCAGACUUCGCGGCAGUGUUCCGCCGGUCUUCUGACCGGUUCAUUCUCUGUCGCGAGGCCAUCAUCGUCUGGGCCCGCCGGAUAAGACCUUAGGAAUGUAGCUCACCUUCGGGGGAGUGUUAUAGCCUAGGGUGAUGCGGCGAGGCUCGGGCGAGGUCCGCGCUUCGGCAAGGAUGAUGGCGUAAUGGUUGUCGGCGGCCCGUCUUGAAACACGGACCAAGGAGUCUAACAUCUAUGCGAGUGUUCGGGUGUCAAACCCCUACGCGUAAUGAAAGUGAACGGAGGUGGGAACCGCAAGGUGCACCAUCGACCGAUCCUGAUGUCCUCGGAUGGAUUUGAGUAAGAGCAUAGCUGUUGGGACCCGAAAGAUGGUGAACUAUGCCUGAAUAGGGUGAAGCCAGAGGAAACUCUGGUGGAGGCUCGCAGCGGUUCUGACGUGCAAAUCGAUCGUCAAAUUUGGGUAUAGGGGCGAAAGACUAAUCGAACCAUCUAGUAGCUGGUUCUGC
This 891-nucleotide ribosomal RNA is filed under the name Septoria cerastii. RNAcentral's name for it is "LSU rRNA". It matches the Rfam family "Eukaryotic large subunit ribosomal RNA", at positions 39 to 960 of the family's 3401-position model. Lineage: Eukaryota; Fungi; Ascomycota; Dothideomycetes; Mycosphaerellales; Mycosphaerellaceae. The record is from RNAcentral.